RNAcentral lists this ribosomal RNA (532 nucleotides) under uncultured bacterium. RNAcentral describes it as "bacterial SSU rRNA". It matches the Rfam family "Bacterial small subunit ribosomal RNA", at positions 8 to 526 of the family's 1533-position model. The record is from RNAcentral.
AGAGUUUGAUCAUGGCUCAGGACGAACGCUGGCGGCGUGCUUAACACAUGCAAGUGGAGCGACGAACCAGGGCUUGCCCUGGGGCAGAGCCGCGAACGGGUGAGUAACACGUGGGUAACCUGCCCCGAUGACCGGGACAACCCGAGGAAACUCGGGCUAAUACCGGAUGUAGAACUCUCACAUCAGUGAGUUUUUUAAAGGUAGCUUCGGCUUCCGCAUUGGGAUGGGCCCGCGGCCCAUUAGCUUGUUGGUGAGGUAAUGGCUUACCAAGGCUUCGAUGGGUAGCUGGUCUGAGAGGACGAUCAGCCACACUGGGACUGAGACACGGCCCAGACUCCUACGGGAGGCAGCAGUGGGGAAUCUUGCGCAAUGCGCGAAAGCGUGACGCAGCAACGCCGCGUGGGGGAAGACGGCCUUCGGGUUGUAAACCCCUUUCAGGAGGGACGAAGGUCACACGGUUAAUAGCCGGCGUGACUGACGGUACCUCCAGAAGAAGCCCCGGCUAACUACGUGCCAGCAGCCGCGGUAAUAC